AUACAUGCAAGUCGAGCGAACAGAUAAGGAGCUUGCUCCUUUGACGUUAGCGGCGGACGGGUGAGUAACACGUGGGUAACCUACCUAUAAGACUGGGAUAACUUCGGGAAACCGGAGCUAAUACCGGAUAACAUUUGGAACCGCAUGGUUCUAAAGUGAAAGAUGGUUUUGCUAUCACUUAUAGAUGGACCCGCGCCGUAUUAGCUAGUUGGUAAGGUAACGGCUUACCAAGGCAACGAUACGUAGCCGACCUGAGAGGGUGAUCGGCCACACUGGAACUGAGACACGGUCCAGACUCCUACGGGAGGCAGCAGUAGGGAAUCUUCCGCAAUGGGCGAAAGCCUGACGGAGCAACGCCGCGUGAGUGAUGAAGGGUUUCGGCUCGUAAAACUCUGUUAUUAGGGAAGAACAAACGUGUAAGUAACUGUGCACGUCUUGACGGUACCUAAUCAGAAAGCCACGGCUAACUACGUGCCAGCAGCCGCGGUAAUACGUAGGUGGCAAGCGUUAUCCGGAAUUAUUGGGCGUAAAGCGCGCGUAGGCGGUUUCUUAAGUCUGAUGUGAAAGCCCACGGCUCAACCGUGGAGGGUCAUUGGAAACUGGGAAACUUGAGUGCAGAAGAGGAAAGUGGAAUUCCAUGUGUAGCGGUGAAAUGCGCAGAGAUAUGGAGGAACACCAGUGGCGAAGGCGACUUUCUGGUCUGUAACUGACGCUGAUGUGCGAAAGCGUGGGGAUCAAACAGGAUUAGAUACCCUGGUAGUCCACGCCGUAAACGAUGAGUGCUAAGUGUUAGGGGGUUUCCGCCCCUUAGUGCUGCAGCUAACGCAUUAAGCACUCCGCCUGGGGAGUACGACCGCAAGGUUGAAACUCAAAGGAAUUGACGGGGACCCGCACAAGCGGUGGAGCAUGUGGUUUAAUUCGAAGCAACGCGAAGAACCUUACCAAAUCUUGACAUCCUUUGAAAACUCUAGAGAUAGAGCCUUCCCCUUCGGGGGACAAAGUGACAGGUGGUGCAUGGUUGUCGUCAGCUCGUGUCGUGAGAUGUUGGGUUAAGUCCCGCAACGAGCGCAACCCUUAAGCUUAGUUGCCAUCAUUAAGUUGGGCACUCUAGGUUGACUGCCGGUGACAAACCGGAGGAAGGUGGGGAUGACGUCAAAUCAUCAUGCCCCUUAUGAUUUGGGCUACACACGUGCUACAAUGGACAAUACAAAGGGCAGCUAAACCGCGAGGUCAUGCAAAUCCCAUAAAGUUGUUCUCAGUUCGGAUUGUAGUCUGCAACUCGACUACAUGAAGCUGGAAUCGCUAGUAAUCGUAGAUCAGCAUGCUACGGUGAAUACGUUCCCGGGUCUUGUACACACCGCCCGUCACACCACGAGAGUUUGUAACACCCGAAGCCGGUGGAGUAACCAUUUAUGGAGCUAGCCGUCGAAGG
Molecule: ribosomal RNA, 1432 nt
Filed under: Staphylococcus saprophyticus
Lineage: Bacteria; Bacillati; Bacillota; Bacilli; Caryophanales; Staphylococcaceae
Description: 16S ribosomal RNA
Rfam family: Bacterial small subunit ribosomal RNA
Source: RNAcentral